RNAcentral lists this ribosomal RNA (759 nucleotides) under uncultured Prevotella sp. RNAcentral describes it as "bacterial SSU rRNA". It matches the Rfam family "Bacterial small subunit ribosomal RNA", at positions 28 to 776 of the family's 1533-position model. Lineage: Bacteria; Pseudomonadati; Bacteroidota; Bacteroidia; Bacteroidales; Prevotellaceae. The record is from RNAcentral.
GAUGAACGCUAGCUACAGGCUUAACACAUGCAAGUCGCAGGGUAACAUGAGGAAAGCUUGCUUUCCUUGAUGACGACUGGCGCACGGGUGAGUAACGCGUAUCCAACCUCCCCAUAACUACGGGAUAACCCGUUGAAAGACGGCCUAAUACCGUAUGAUAUCGUUUGCUGACAUCAAAUAACGAUUAAAGGUUUAGCGGUUAUGGAUGGGGAUGCGUCUGAUUAGCUUGUUGGCGGGGUAACGGCCCACCAAGGCGACGAUCAGUAGGGGUUCUGAGAGGAAGGUCCCCCACAUUGGAACUGAGACACGGUCCAAACUCCUACGGGAGGCAGCAGUGAGGAAUAUUGGUCAAUGGGCGAGAGCCUGAACCAGCCAAGUAGCGUGCAGGAUGACGGCCCUAUGGGUUGUAAACUGCUUUUAUGUGGGGAUAAAGUGCGUGACGUGUCAUGCAUUGCAGGUACCACAUGAAUAAGGACCGGCUAAUUCCGUGCCAGCAGCCGCGGUAAUACGGAAGGUCCGGGCGUUAUCCGGAUUUAUUGGGUUUAAAGGGAGCGUAGGCUGUCUAUUAAGCGUGUUGUGAAAUUUACCGGCUCAACCGGUGGCUUGCAGCGCGAACUGGUCGACUUGAGUAUGCAGGAAGUAGGCGGAAUUCAUGGUGUAGCGGUGAAAUGCUUAGAUAUCAUGACGAACUCCGAUUGCGCAGGCAGCUUACUGUAGCAUAACUGACGCUGAUGCUCGAAAGUGCGGGUAUCAAACAGG